UCCGAGUUGACCCCUGCUGUGCCGAAGUCAACACAUUAAGCACUCCGCCUGGGGAGUACGGUCGCAAGACUGAAACUCAAAGGAAUUGACGGGGGCCCGCACAAGCGGUGGAGCAUGUGGUUUAAUUCGAAGCAACGCGCAGAACCUUACCUGGGUUUGAACUGUACAGGCAAGGCUCAGAGAUGAGCCCCCCUCUUCGGAGGUCUGUGCAGAGGUGCUGCAUGGCUGUCGUCUGCUCGUGUCGUGAGAUGUUGGGUUAAGUCCCGCAACGAGCGCAACCCUUGUUCACAGUUACUAACGGGUAAAGCCGAGGACUCUGUGGAGACUGCCGGUGAUAAACCGGAGGAAGGUGGGGAUGACGUGUAACCGAAUCU
RNAcentral lists this unclassified non-coding RNA (374 nucleotides) under uncultured Holophagae bacterium. RNAcentral's name for it is "contains 16S-23S intergenic spacer region". It matches the Rfam family "Bacterial small subunit ribosomal RNA", at positions 825 to 1195 of the family's 1533-position model. The record is from RNAcentral. Lineage: Bacteria; Pseudomonadati; Acidobacteriota; Holophagae.